UGCGACUUAGUUUAUUUAGAAUAAUCAAUUUGCACUUGAUUGGGGAGAGUUUUUCUCAGUAGCAG
Molecule: transfer RNA, 65 nt
Filed under: Drawida japonica
Lineage: Eukaryota; Metazoa; Annelida; Clitellata; Moniligastrida; Moniligastridae
Description: tRNA-Ala
Source: RNAcentral